GGGUCGAUGAAGAACGCAGCAAGCUACGAUAGUCAGUGCGAAUUGCAGGACACACUGAGCACUUGAUUUUCCAACGCACAUUGCGGCCUUGGAGCUUUUCCGAGGUCACAUCUAUCUGAGAGUCGAAAUGGAAUAUCAUAAGCGAUGUGAUGCUGUGUAGCUGUUUGGCGAAACCCUGUCUCUGUUGAAACUAUCCUACCUGAUAGGAUAAAGUAGGAGAUGGAUAGUAGUUUACACUCACACUCACGCGUAUUCGCAUGUCUUGGGUAUACCUUGAGUAUACCCUCGACGAUACUGUGUGCCUGAGCUUUGGUCACUCAGUUGAUUGAGUGUGUGUAUGUAUACCCUACCCAGGGUGUGCAUGCCUAUUCAUUCAACGUGUGAGUGUCCUAGCCAGGUGAUGUACUCUGUUGCAUACAUCUGCCCUGCCUGCAAGAUGGAGGGUAAAGCGAAGAUGGAGAAAUGAGUACCCGAGUAGGUACACCAUCCUCGAGAUGCUAAAGUCUUAGGUUAAUGGUGUACACAUCUACCAGUGUACUAGUACCAUUGGGUUCUAGUAUCGGGCUCAUGGAGAUGGUUGGAAUAGUGUAUGGGGACACUAUUGCCAAUAAAAAAGUCGUUACAUGUAUAGUCUAUUGAUGUUGCAACCAGUGUUAAGGUAGAAGUCGUUACCCUACCGAACAUCAUCACAGAUAUGAUAUGAUGUUGAAAAAAUUCCACUAUUCGAUCUCAGAGUAGGUGAGACUACCCGCUGAAUUUAAGCAUAU
RNAcentral lists this unclassified non-coding RNA (767 nucleotides) under Brevipalpus phoenicis (false spider mite). RNAcentral describes it as "sequence contains 5.8S rRNA gene, ITS2". The stretch from base 4 to 125 matches the Rfam family "5.8S ribosomal RNA", at positions 33 to 154 of the family's 154-position model. The record is from RNAcentral. Lineage: Eukaryota; Metazoa; Arthropoda; Arachnida; Trombidiformes; Tenuipalpidae.